GUCAACGACCAUACCAUGUUGAACACACCGGUUCUCGUCCGAUCACCGAAGUUAAGCAACAUCGGGCAUGGCUCAUCCCUUAUUUUUAUGCUUUUGCCGACCUGCUACGAUGCACCGUGUGGGAGUGCGUAGCUAAGUGCAAGGCUUGGACAUCAGAGAGCGCGAUGGAGUAGGAGAAGAACGCUCGAAUAUCCUUUUUGUUGCUAGGGAUGCUGGCGCGAGGGUGGUUCUUGAUGCGUGCGAGCGCCGGUGACCACCAUAGGUGGGUGACCACUUGGGAAAACCAUGUGUCGUUGGCA
RNAcentral lists this ribosomal RNA (299 nucleotides) under Anopheles funestus (African malaria mosquito). Lineage: Eukaryota; Metazoa; Arthropoda; Insecta; Diptera; Culicidae. The record is from RNAcentral.